This 506-nucleotide ribosomal RNA is filed under the name uncultured bacterium. RNAcentral describes it as "partial 16S ribosomal RNA". It matches the Rfam family "Bacterial small subunit ribosomal RNA", at positions 30 to 523 of the family's 1533-position model. The record is from RNAcentral.
AUUGAACGCUGGCGGCAGGCUUAACACAUGCAAGUCGAGCGGUAACAGAGAGAAGCUUGCUUCUCUGCUGACGAGCGGCGGACGGGUGAGUAAUGCCUAGGAAUCUGCCUAGUAGUGGGGGAUAACUUGCCGAAGGGUAAGCUAAUACCGCAUACGUCCUACGGGAGAAAGGAGGGGACCUUCGGGCCUUUCGCUAUUAGAUGAGCCUAGGUCGGAUUAGUUAGUUGGUGAGGUAAUGGCUCACCAAGACCGCGAUCCGUAACUGGUCUGAGAGGAUGAUCAGUCACACUGGAACUGAGACACGGGCCAGACUCCUACGGGAGGCAGCAGUGGAGAAUAUUGGCCAAUGGGGGGAACCCUGAUCCAGCCAUGCCGCGUGUGUGAAGAAGGUCUUAGGAUUGUAAAGCACUUUAAGUUGGGAGGAAGAGCAGUUAACUAAUAUUUGACUGUUUUGACGUUACCGACAGAAUAAGCACCGGCUAACUUCGUGCCAGCCGCCGCCGUAA